Molecule: long non-coding RNA, 128 nt
Organism: Sphaeramia orbicularis (orbiculate cardinalfish)
Lineage: Eukaryota; Metazoa; Chordata; Actinopteri; Kurtiformes; Apogonidae
Exons: 3
Source: RefSeq, a predicted model, not a curated record
UCAGAACACAUUUAUUUAACCUACUGUGGGUCAAUGUGCUUCUCAUGUAAACCUGUACUGUGUGAGAGUGUGGGGGCUUGAAAAGGGUGGGCAUGUUUGGGUUUGUCUUACUGUAAAAUGUGUUGCAU